AUACGGGACCAUAUAUGGCAUGUGGUCACAUGGUGUCUCCCGCAGAAAACCUUGUGUAAAAUACUGAGGUAGCCAUUUUUCCAAUCGCUUCUUAUGAGAAACCAACUGCCUCAACGGAUAUAUUAUAGAAUAUAUUUGUUAAAACCACCUUGAGGAUGGAUCCUAAACAACGUGUUUCUGUCUAUUAUGUAGCUAAUUUUGAAAAAGGUUUGGCGUUAUAGUUGUAGCAUUAUUCGGUCGAUUUCUCAGCCAAGCAUGGUGAAGAAACGGGAGCUUUUUCAGUCAAAAAUAAAAAAGUCAAAAAUAAUAUUUUUGGAAAAAAGGAACAUUUGCUAUCUAACUGGGAGUCUCCUGAGUGAAAGCAUCCGAAGUUCUUCAAAGGUGUCACCCUACUUCCCCAUUAUCCCCUGGGUAUUUAAACUUGUGUUUUCUGUCUGUCAGUGCCAGUUCAUCUUGUAUUUUCCAAGUCAACCAGUGUGUUUUUCCUGUGCUCCUGCCUUUUCUGGUCUCUUUUGCUGGUCCUCCCGGUUUUGACCCUUGCCCUUUUUCUGGAUUCUGUACCCGCCUGCCUGACCAUUCUGCCUGCCUUGACCUCGAGCCUGCCAGCCACACUGUACCUCCUGGACUCUGGACUGGUUUUGACCUUUUGCCUGUCCACGAUCAUUCUCUUGCCUACCCCUUUUGGAUUUAAUAAAUAUCAAAGACUCAAACCAUCUGCCUCCCGUGUCUGCAUCUGGGUCUCACCUUGUGCCCUUAUACAUGAUCGGAUAUCGACAUGCCUGGGUGGUUGACCCUGUGACCCCUGUAGAGCAACGCUGUUUGUAGGUCUUCUAUAGUGCAGCAGAUCAAUGGCUGUGACAUGAGGCCCCUGACAGCUGAUCGAUAACAGCCUCCUAUUGAUUGGCAGUAAAUAAAGUGAUUGAUGGAUCGGCCUGAAAAUGAUUUGGUGACUGAGAGGAGAGGAGUGCAUCUGGACUUAGCAAGCCUGUUGGUAUAAGUCAGAAGAGGAUAGGGAGUAGGAGUGGGAGGAGAAGGAAGAGGAGGAGAAGCAAGAGGAGGAGGAGUAAGAGGAAGCGGAAGAAGGAGAUAGAGGAAGGACUACAGCCAAUGAUGAAGAAGAGGAUGAAAAUGUGGAGGAGGAAGAAAAGGAAGAAGAGCAGGAGGAGGAGCAGGAGGAAGAGGAGGAGGAUGAGAGAAUUAAGAGAGGGUGAAGAUGAUUUCUCUGGCAGAGUAAUUAAAGGCCUUUCUCAUCUCCGAGGAUUUCUCUCUGGGUUUAAUUACGGCCUGCGUCUUGCACUUUUUACAUUAAACAUGAUCCAGCCUGGCUUUUGU
Oncorhynchus tshawytscha (Chinook salmon) is the source of this 1332-nucleotide long non-coding RNA. Lineage: Eukaryota; Metazoa; Chordata; Actinopteri; Salmoniformes; Salmonidae. The record is from Ensembl.